This 1047-nucleotide ribosomal RNA is filed under the name Leuconostoc mesenteroides. RNAcentral's name for it is "bacterial SSU rRNA". It matches the Rfam family "Bacterial small subunit ribosomal RNA", at positions 72 to 1104 of the family's 1533-position model. Lineage: Bacteria; Bacillati; Bacillota; Bacilli; Lactobacillales; Lactobacillaceae. The record is from RNAcentral.
AAAGGUGCUUGCACCUUUCAAGUGAGUGGCGAACGGGUGAGUAACACGUGGACAACCUGCCUCAAGGCUGGGGAUAACAUUUGGAAACAGAUGCUAAUACCGAAUAAAACUUAGUGUCGCAUGACACAAAGUUAAAAGGCGCUUCGGCGUCACCUAGAGAUGGAUCCGCGGUGCAUUAGUUAGUUGGUGGGGUAAAGGCCUACCAAGACAAUGAUGCAUAGCCGAGUUGAGAGACUGAUCGGCCACAUUGGGACUGAGACACGGCCCAAACUCCUACGGGAGGCUGCAGUAGGGAAUCUUCCACAAUGGGCGAAAGCCUGAUGGAGCAACGCCGCGUGUGUGAUGAAGGCUUUCGGGUCGUAAAGCACUGUUGUAUGGGAAGAACAGCUAGAAUAGGAAAUGAUUUUAGUUUGACGGUACCAUACCAGAAAGGGACGGCUAAAUACGUGCCAGCAGCCGCGGUAAUACGUAUGUCCCGAGCGUUAUCCGGAUUUAUUGGGCGUAAAGCGAGCGCAGACGGUUUAUUAAGUCUGAUGUGAAAGCCCGGAGCUCAACUCCGGAAUGGCAUUGGAAACUGGUUAACUUGAGUGCAGUAGAGGUAAGUGGAACUCCAUGUGUAGCGGUGGAAUGCGUAGAUAUAUGGAAGAACACCAGUGGCGAAGGCGGCUUACUGGACUGCAACUGACGUUGAGGCUCGAAAGUGUGGGUAGCAAACAGGAUUAGAUACCCUGGUAGUCCACACCGUAAACGAUGAACACUAGGUGUUAGGAGGUUUCCGCCUCUUAGUGCCGAAGCUAACGCAUUAAGUGUUCCGCCUGGGGAGUACGACCGCAAGGUUGAAACUCAAAGGAAUUGACGGGGACCCGCACAAGCGGUGGAGCAUGUGGUUUAAUUCGAAGCAACGCGAAGAACCUUACCAGGUCUUGACAUCCUUUGAAGCUUUUAGAGAUAGAAGUGUUCUCUUCGGAGACAAAGUGACAGGUGGUGCAUGGUCGUCGUCAGCUCGUGUCGUGAGAUGUUGGGUUAAGUCCCGCACGAGCGCACCCU